This 202-nucleotide ribosomal RNA is filed under the name uncultured bacterium. RNAcentral describes it as "partial 16S ribosomal RNA". It matches the Rfam family "Bacterial small subunit ribosomal RNA", at positions 335 to 526 of the family's 1533-position model. The record is from RNAcentral.
CUCCUACCGGGGGGCAGCAGUGGGGAAUAUUGGACAAUGGGGGAAACCCUGAUCCAGCGACGCCGCGUGUGUGAAGAAGGCCUGCGGGUUGUAAAGCACGUUUUAGUGGGGACAAAAGCUACGGAUUAAUACUCUGUGGUCUUGAUUUUAACCCAAAGUAAAAAGCACCCGGCUAACUCUGUGCCAGCCGCCGCGGUAAUUC